AUGGGCAAUCCAAGGGCCAGGAAUACCCGGGAUCGGGUCAUGCAAGUUCAGUCUUCCUCCCCGAGCCGUCCGGGCGUGCAUGCUAUUUAUAAGUGGAGUGGAGAUCAGUGGAUCCACACCGUCCCAAGCACGACCGUGUCCAUGGCUGGGAAAAUGGAGGCCAAGCUCGCGGCCCCCGCGCUGCUCUCACUCGUCGCACUCACCCUGCUCGCGCACACGCUCCUCCUCCACCGUCCGCGCGCCACCGCCUGGCUCCUCUCCACCGUCGACGCCUUCGGGUUCGACGGCCGCCGCCUCGUCGAGCUCGUCAACAGGAGAAACAUGAUCCUCCUCUGCAACGCCAUCCUCCUGGUCAUCCUCAAGGACGCCGGGCUCCUGGCUGCUCCAGCUCGGCCACGCAGCUCCGCGGCCGUAACGGCCCGUGGAGCUGCGUGCUCCAGCUCCGAGGCACGGCCUCAGCCCAAGACUCGGCGGACCAGUACGGCGGCUGGCGCGACCGGCGACGACGAAGGUCGUCUCGAGCGUGAACAUCGAGGCGCUGAGACGGCCACGGCGCGAGUACGGCGCAGGAAGCCGCUGACGAGAGCGAGAGAGGGGGAAUAUGCCGCGACGGUCCAAGACAUGGAUCCCGCGGAGAAACAGAGAUCGGACUACAGCUUCAACCACUUUCAUCAUGGUGCUGGCUAUGAGAUUGCCGUGGUGGCGGAUAGGAUCUCUAGUUUGCAUGACGAGGGAAGCAGAGGAGGGGAGCACACGACCCGGCAGAAAGCACAGCCUGAGAUAGUUGACGACGUGGACGAGAUGAACAAGAAAUUCGAAGAGUUCAUCGCCAGCAUGAGGAGGAAGAUGCAUCUCGAGACCCUGCAGCUGCAGCAGCAGGUCGAGGUCUAG
RNAcentral lists this ribosomal RNA (891 nucleotides) under Triticum aestivum (bread wheat). RNAcentral's name for it is "partial small subunit ribosomal RNA". The record is from RNAcentral. Lineage: Eukaryota; Viridiplantae; Streptophyta; Magnoliopsida; Poales; Poaceae.